Bombus impatiens (common eastern bumble bee) is the source of this 444-nucleotide long non-coding RNA. RefSeq lists it as uncharacterized. The transcript is spliced from 2 exons. The record is from RefSeq and is a predicted model, not a curated record. Lineage: Eukaryota; Metazoa; Arthropoda; Insecta; Hymenoptera; Apidae.
AGCUAUCGUGCCUGAAAAAUCAAGAAAAAAGUCACGAAAAGUAUUUAUAACUGGGAUUCGAGUUGGUGUGAAACAUUUUGGACGAUCCUGUGUCAGCAUUCUCAUAUAUUUCCCAUGAUAUUGAACCGUCUUGGAAGUAGGUAAUGAGGAAAUCAGCAGAUGAAUCAGCUGAAGCCUGGAAUCGAGCAAAACCAAAAUACCAUAACGCCAUUGCUACAUGCGAACACCACCUUUGCACCCACAUUGUAUGCAAGAAUGGUUUCCAAUCCGAUUUUACUGUUGUCCAGCAGUAUCUGUAUAAAAUAUUUCAUACUAUUCGAGUGUGGAAAAUGUAAUUUUGUUUUCAGCAAAAAUGCUAUUGUAUUAUUUGAUUUGACGUGAAUUUGAUAUUUUUGAAUUCGAUAAUAUGUCAUAUUAAUAAAAUUCUACAAAACUUUGUAUCAA